GCUAAAGCGUGACUUUAGCUUGGCUGGGUUGCUAGGGCGUUACCCUUGCUUGGCUGGUUCUGUAACCGUUGUGGUCGCGGCACUACCGUCGGCUCCCGAGGAGACUAGGACCGAAGUACGUUGACAGAGGGUUUGGUGGCACUGAAAGUCGGCUUCUGAGAAGACUAGGACUAGGAGUGUGAUCACCGGUAAGAGAAAGAGAAGGAGAGGAGUUGCUCUUAGAGAGGUUUGCUCUAGAGAGAACUUAGAUCAUCUUAGAGAUGUUGUUGUUGUGAAUGUGUGUCUUAGAAUGAGAGGAGAAGGUGUUUAUAUAGGG
This 316-nucleotide long non-coding RNA is filed under the name Rosa chinensis. RNAcentral's name for it is "sRNA RchiOBHm_Chr3g0488281". The record is from RNAcentral. Lineage: Eukaryota; Viridiplantae; Streptophyta; Magnoliopsida; Rosales; Rosaceae.